Molecule: unclassified non-coding RNA, 435 nt
Filed under: Trichophyton benhamiae
Lineage: Eukaryota; Fungi; Ascomycota; Eurotiomycetes; Onygenales; Arthrodermataceae
Description: contains 16S-23S intergenic spacer region
Rfam family: 5.8S ribosomal RNA (bases 93-248)
Source: RNAcentral
GGGGGAUAUAGCUGGUGCGCAACCACCGGGGGACAGACACCAAAAAUCUUGGAAAGCUGUCAGUCUGAGCGUUAGCAAGUAAAAUCAGAUAAAACUUUCGAACAAAAAAUAUAUAUGAGUUCCGGCAUCGAUGAAGAACGCAGCGAAAUCGAUAAGUAAUGUGAAUUGCAGAAUUCCGUGAAUCAUCGAAUCUUUGAACGCACAUUGCGCCCUCUGGUAUUCCGGGGGGCAUGCCUGUUCGAGCGUCAUUUCAACCCCUCAAGCCCGGCUUGUGUGAUGGACGACCGUCCGGCCCCCUCUUUCGGGGGCGGGACGCGCCCGAAAAGCAGUGGCCAGGCCGCGAUCCGGCUUCCUGGGCGAAUGGGCAGUCAAACCGAGCGCCCUCGGACCGGCCGCUCUGGCCUUCCCCCAAUCUGUGCUGAUUUUUUUUCGAGU